This 465-nucleotide long non-coding RNA is filed under the name Homo sapiens (human). RNAcentral describes it as "HSALNT0066902". The record is from RNAcentral. Lineage: Eukaryota; Metazoa; Chordata; Mammalia; Primates; Hominidae.
CCUAGAGACUGAGAUCAGAGCCGAGGGGCAGACCACGGAACAGGGAGGUGUCUGGGUGGCUGGACAUGCCAUGGAGUUCUGGUCCAGUCUUUCAUGUCUUAAACAGGAUGAUAAGACAAGGAAUACAGAUGAUGACUGAAGAAUUUCCAGAGAAUCUAGUGGAGGUGGGAAAGUGUCCUUCUCCAGGGAGGGUCCUGAAGAUGGGAGCAGAUUCCUGCUCUCCAGCAGCCCCUCCUCACCCAGGCCUCAGUUUCCAGGGAGAACAUGUUCAGCCUUCCUCCGUGAGAGGGGCUGGGAGGCAGCGAGGGUGAUGCCCCGAGGGUCCUAUUCUCCUGCCUCAGUUUCACGUAAUGCAAGUGUUUUCCACUAAAAGCGAAGAUCUAAACUGCCCGAGGGAGCAUCACCACUCACAGCUUUUAUAUAUUGGAUCACCUGGUGACAUUGAAUUUAAGGAGCAAAGGAGGG